RNAcentral lists this unclassified non-coding RNA (1570 nucleotides) under uncultured fungus. RNAcentral's name for it is "sequence contains 18S rRNA gene, ITS1, 5.8S rRNA gene, ITS2, 28S rRNA gene". The stretch from base 577 to 1570 matches the Rfam family "Eukaryotic large subunit ribosomal RNA", at positions 1 to 961 of the family's 3401-position model. The record is from RNAcentral. Lineage: Eukaryota; Fungi.
AGCUGGAUCAUUUUCCGAUAAUCAAAAAAAUACUUUUUUCUUUUCGGUUCCUCGCCUCCCGGCCUUUUAUUGAGGGGGAGGUUAAUAUAUUGAGGUGACCACCAAAGCAAGACUGAAAAAACAUUUGCCUCAUCACAAAUGCACAACAUUUAUGGUGAACGGCUUCCACAACGUGUCGCGAUGGAUGACUUGGCUUCCUAUUUCGUUGAAGAACGCAGCAAAGUGCGAUAAGUGGUAUCAAUUGCAGAAUCACCCAAUUACCGAAUCUUUGAACGCAAAAGGCGCCCGAGAGAAGCUGUUCACCAGUGAACCUCGUGCAUGCCGCAAAUCUCAGUGUCGAACAAAAAACAAAAACAAAAGAGAGUCUUGGGCUUUCUUCUUUUCUCUCAGAGAACAAAAGAACCCAAGUGGUUGCUCGAAAUUUUUUUCGAAAAAGACAAAAUGGGCAACAACCAAAAACAAAACCAAAAAAAAUAGAGAACGUAAUAAAUUCUUUAUUCUUUUUCAAUUAACGAGAAACGAAACGACAAAAAGAAGGCGUAAAACCCCUUCUUUUUUCUUUCAUUCCUCCGUUCACAGACCUGAGUGCGGCAGGACUACCCGCCGAACUUAAGCAUAUUACUCAGCGGAGGAAAAGAAAACAACCGUGAUUCCCUCAGUCAGCGGCGAGCGAAGAGGGACCGAACUCGUUGCCGAAUCGGGCCUCAACGGCCUUGAGUUGUGGCAAAAACGGCGUUCCGUGGUCGGUGCGGGAUUGGCGAAAUUCAAUGUGCAAAGCAAACCCUGCUGAACACAACCCUUCAUGUGAGUAUUGAGCCAUAGAAGGUGGUAGCCCAUUGAGCCAAGAACCGAGCGCCCCACUGGAUGCUCAUAGAGAGUAGCACUGCUUGGGAAUGCAGUGUCAAGCGGCAGGUAUUUGUCUGCCAAAGUUAAACACAGAGUAGGAAGACCGAUAUCGAACAAGUAGCGUGAGCGAAAGUUUGAAAAGCACUUUGGAAAGAGAGUGACAUAGAACCUGAAGUCGUGACAAUGAUAAUGGAAGUACCUCCAUUUCACUGGCCAAAACCAGCCUUCAAAGCAUUAUCCUCCCCGGCGCACCCGUCAAAAAGGAGCGCUGGGGCAACAAGUGCGGACAAGGGGCUCUGGUGAAACGAGCGGAGAUAAAAGUCGGGAGCACUGCGCGUCAAAAACGCAGCGAGCCCCGGCUUCUCCGUGAUGCUCAAUGUUGGCAAACCGAAAUGGGGUGCCUUCACCCGUCUUGAAACACGGACCAAGGAGUCAAACAGACGCGCAAGGGGGAAGAUACACACAAAAAAUACUUCUCUCGUACUGAAAGGGUUUCUUUUUAUUUGGUGUGCACACAAAACGAAUGCCCAACACCGACCGGCCCCCCGUGGGUUGAGUUUGAGUGUGCCUGUUUGGACCCGAAAGGUGGUGAACUAUACCUGAACAAGGUGAAGCCCGGGGAAACCCAGGUGGAGGCCUGUAGCGAUGCUGACGUGCAAAUCGCUCGCAUGAUUUGGGUAUCGGAGCGAAAGACUCAUCGAACCACCUAGUAGCUGGUUCACAU